Lonchura striata (white-rumped munia) is the source of this 2839-nucleotide non-coding RNA. NCBI's taxonomy places the organism in Eukaryota, Metazoa, Chordata, Aves, Passeriformes, Estrildidae. The record is from RefSeq and is a predicted model, not a curated record.
UAUGGUGUUUUCCGGAAAGGUGGUGUCAUAGUGUCAUGAUUCUUUGCUAAAACCCAUCAAGUUGUCAUUCCCAUUAAUCCUUCCUAAUCCCAGUGUCUAGGUGAAGAGUGAUCACACCACACUUGGGGUGCAGAAAAGCUAUAGUGAUCUUUUCCCUUGUUCCUGGUUUUAUUCUCCCUAUGUGGGUGCAGCAUUUUAAGGCAGGUUGCAGCUCAGCAUCACCCUUUUGAUUCUCUCUAACCAUUCCUUUGCAUCGUGGCAACACAGAGCUUUCACAGCAUAAACAAGUCCAAGGAAUAGAUGGAUUUCCUCACUAUGAAAUAAGUAAAGCAGAUGAUUGAAUAAAGUUUCAUUUCCCUGCCUGGUUCAGCAGCUCUCUCUUGCUCUAUUACAUUUCCUAACUUGCCUCAGCAACUCUCUUACCCAGCUCUGUGACUCCCUGAGUGGGUGAUGCUCUUGGGUUUCCUCUGCACUUGAAAUCCUGGCCUGACCCUUUUACACGGGGCCAAAUGCUGCUCUUGAUUCCCCCGGGUUAAUCCGGAGUAAAUCCUGGGAUUAACAGGAUUUAACCCUGUGCUGCCUGAAUGCUGCGUGCAGCCCUGACUUGUGGUGUUGCCCAGGGUCUGCUGGGACCCGUGUCCUUGCUAGGAACCACAGGUUGGGUAAAGAAAUGCUGAAUAAACUAAUAAACCACCCCAUACUCCACAAGCAAUGGCAGGGCAGUCGUCUCCUGAUGGAGUAGAUCCACCCAAAAUCGCCCAAAGUCAUCCUUAGCAAAACCAUCUCUUCCUCCCAAUUUCACAUCUUUCCUCCCUCUCUGCCUGCCCUGAGAGUUUAGCUGCACUGUUUAUCAGGAUUUAUUUUGUUUUCUUUCUCCCUGGUUUCUUCCCUAGGAGCACACGACAUCCAGAAUGGGGGUUUGGGCAGCUGUGCCCAUCCCAUGAAGAUUAUUCUCUGCUCUUCCCUCCUUGGGAUGGUGGCACAGGGUUUUGUUCUAGUGGUUUUCUCUGGGAGCCUGGAUGAAAUAUUCAGGACCUUUGUUUGACCAAGCCUGUGUGGGAUUGGUUUUUCUACCUGCUUGGUAUUUUCUUGGCCUGAAGUGAACAAGAACAGGUUCUGCCUCUGUAGGACCCAGGCAAGGAGCUCAUCCUUCCUCUGGCUGCAUGUUCCUGAAACUCUUUCCAUGUCCAUCAUCCCCCGAGGAGGCUGUGGCUCCAGCUGGGUGUGGAGGGCACAAAGUGUGAGAAUUGGCCCUGAGGGCAGCUGAAUGCAAGUGGUUCUGUGCAGCCCAAGGAUCUCCAUCCCAUGGAUUGCCAAUGUGCAGCUUGGAUUGAUUCUGAAUCUCCUCGAGGCUUUGGAGCGGAGGGGAGCACCAAAGCACCACAGAAACUCAACCCCACCAUCACUGACACCACCACCCCACUUCCCAAAUCAACCCUGACACAGUGUUGAAAUUGUUCAUAAAACGAGUAAUCAAGCUGCUAAUAUCUGCAAUCAUCAUUUUGGAAAAAAAAAGAGAUAAUAGGGCAACCAUCAGGGAGUACAGUUAAUGUAUAAAACAAUUACUGUAGUCAGAUGCUUAAGUAAGAGCCAUAGUGGUAACGAAGACAUUACUGUACAGAGCACAGUGUGCAAUACAGAGGCGAUUUUAUUUGUGAUGCCAGGAUGGAAAAAAAAAAGCCUCUAAGAGGAAACUGAGGCAUUUUCACCAGAUUUUCACCAGCAGCCUCUUUCCUUGGUAUGAAACCUGCUAACACGUGUGCACACACACGUAUAUCUGCACACAAAUCCAGCUUUAACUUGGUAUCACUUGUAGAAAUUAAUAUGAUUAUUUAAAUCACACUUAUUUGCUGCCAGCUAGCUCAUGUCAGUGGUCAUGUCUCUUUUAAAUACUAUAUAUGCAAUAGUAGCAAUUUCAAAUCCUAACAACAGCAAUCAGCCAGGAGAGCUUUGCUUCAAGUGGGCCGUUUAAACAAAAGCUUCUCAGUCCCAGUUUUGAUAAGGAUCUAACUGCUAAUCUUUUAUUUUGCAUCCAGCCAGUCUUGGGCACAGCUCUUCCCUCCCUGUGAGACUCUCUCAGGGAGCAAUGAGAACAUUGAUUUUUGUUUUUACACCACAAUGAUUUCUCCCCACUAUAUUUUCUCCAGUAUUUGGUGGGUUUUGCUCAGCUUUAAUUGCUACAAAGCUCUCCUGUUUUCUGUUGUUAGCACUAAAUCCCUGCCCUGUUCUCUGCCACACGGCAGUAGUUGGGACAUUUUAUUGUCUCUUUAAUCCCAAAUCUUCUGCCGUGCAUCUUCCUCUGCAAGCAGGAAACGCUGCCUGGAGAACCCCAAAGCACAGAGAAAAAACAUGAAGGGUACAAAGAAAAGGGCUGGCUGGGACAUCCUGGUUAAAUACCUGUGGAGCAGGAGAUGUUUGCUGGGAGAGGGGUGCUGGGAAGGAAUUUUGCUGGUUUUAGCUUAAGGAUGAAUGUGAGGAUGGAAGUACCUGAAACAUCUUAACUGGAGUGCCUUGGGUUUAUUCAGAAAGUUUCUGUCUAUGCAGCCAAUAUUGUAAUCAGUAAUUGUUUAAAUUAAACCUCUCAUUUUAGAUGUCCCAAUUUUCUAUUAAUAAAAUAUUUUUCCCUGGAGUGAACAUUUUUUUAAUGUAUACAAGAUAUUUUAGUGCUUUCCCUGCCUUCAAUUUCAAAAAGUUAAGAAAAAGUCAACAUUUAAAAUACUUUUAUCAGCUUUAAUAAAAACAUUAUCACUCUAGUUUUGGGCUUAUGCUAUGAUCUGCAUAUUAGUAGAACUCAAAGCCAGCAAAAUUAUAUCUCCAUUUGAAUAAAUGAAGAGACUGA